UUCCGGUUGAUCCUGCCGGACCUGACUGCUAUCGGAUUGGUACUAAGCCAUGCGAGUCAUUGUAGCAAUACAAGGCGGACGGCUCAGUAACACGUAGUCAACCUAACUCGUGGACGUGGAUAACCUCGGGAAACUGAGAAUAAACCACGAUAGAUCAUAGUGCCUGGAAUGGCCUCUGGUCCAAACAGUUUACUGCCAUGGGAUGGGACUGCGGCCUAUCAGCUUGUUGGUGAGGUAAUGGCCCACCAAGGCGAU
This 255-nucleotide ribosomal RNA is filed under the name uncultured archaeon. Its description in RNAcentral is "partial 16S ribosomal RNA". It matches the Rfam family "Archaeal small subunit ribosomal RNA", at positions 1 to 261 of the family's 1478-position model. The record is from RNAcentral.